Molecule: long non-coding RNA, 925 nt
Organism: Eriocheir sinensis (Chinese mitten crab)
Lineage: Eukaryota; Metazoa; Arthropoda; Malacostraca; Decapoda; Varunidae
Exons: 4
Source: RefSeq, a predicted model, not a curated record
CAAGCCAACAAGCACUUCACAGGCUCUCAAGGCGGUCUCGGGUCAAGAGGUCUCCUGUUCUUGUUUCCCGUAAACAUGAGGACCCCUGUACACCCCUGUAUCAAAUGUUCAUGGUGUAAUAAUUACUUCCCGUUGUCCGCACUCGCAGCUCAUAGGGCGGCCUGCCUUCCAGAGGGCCUUGGGACUGGAUCGAAAGAUAUAUCUACUAGAAACAAUGAAGAGACGUCGUCGACUAGCUCUGAUCGAUCAGAUGUCGGUUUCUCUCAACCAGACCCCAGCGAUAUUGGAAGUUGUUCUCCACGGGCGGGUCUCAGCGACGAAGCCAGUCAAAACCAAAGGACUAUCUCCGAAGAAGGCGGGUCUGGUAGGCUCAGCCAUUGGCCCUCCUCUUCAGCGAUCGGUAGUGGACGAAAACGAAAACAAGCGAAUACAGGAACAAACGACACCUGCAGGAAAAAGCAAGCCCGUCGUGAGGGAUUCUCCCAUCCAAACAGUUCUCCACAGCCAGGACCCAGCGGUUAUAACCCGGGACGGCCGACAACAACACCCUCACCAACACCAGGUGAAAUAAGCCAACAUUUCAACGGGGCCUUAACAACGAUCGACGUGCCCGUCCCACCAGCAGACAACGGCGACAUUGCAUCAUAUUUCAACAACAACACUGGCCGUCUUCGCGAGGCAGUAGAGUCUGUAUUCCAAGGCUGCCAGCAGGUUAGACCUCCUUCUUUUAAAGUGUACGUUGACAUGCAUCUGCGUUUAGUCAGAGAAGACCCCGACGGUGGAGUUCAAUAUAGAGAUAUGUAUAUGAGAAGUCAUAUGCAGGUAAUUAGCUAUGACGAUAUAGAUUCAUAUGUACGUGAACUAUCCGAAUAUUUUGUUAAUCGGUUUGAACAUGACAUGUCGGACGAAGAGGGCAGUGGAUUUA